Molecule: unclassified non-coding RNA, 389 nt
Filed under: Hevea brasiliensis (rubber tree)
Lineage: Eukaryota; Viridiplantae; Streptophyta; Magnoliopsida; Malpighiales; Euphorbiaceae
Source: RNAcentral
CAUGAGACUCUUCCUCAGAGUGCUGAGUAUCCUGCUGACAUUUUCACUUCCUGCCUCACAACGCCAAUCAAAAUGGCAUUGAGAUGGCUUUGCACGCGAUCAUUAUUUUGUGAGUCAUUUGAUUAUGCUCUGAUAGAUAGAAUUCCUGGCCGCCAAACAGAUCGAAAGACACCUCUUGGUGAAUUGAAUUGGAUUUUCACUGCAGUAACUGAUUCAAUUGCCUGGAAUGUUCUACCACGCGAUCUAUUUCAGAGAUUGUUCAGGCAAGACCUAUUAGUUGCUAGUUUGUUCAGAAAUUUUUUACUUGCUGAAAGAAUCAUGCGCUCUGCAAAUUGUUCACCAAUUUCAUACCCGAUGCUACCACCUACUCAUCAGCAUCAUAUGUGGGA